AUGAAAAAUAGACGUGCAGAGUUGACACGGGCGGGUGACUUUUUGACACGGCCGGGUGGCUGGGCUGUGAAGAUGGGAUAAGCGGUUGAAAGAUAUGAAAGUUUUCGUGCAAAUAAACGGCAAAAUAGGAAAGCUGGAAUGCAGGGACCACCGUAACUUACGGUGCCACCGUAAGUUACGGUGGAGCUGAAGGCUUUACGGCAGCCCCCUACUGAUUUACGGUAGGGGCAUGUCACACCAGGGGCCACCGUAACUUACGGUGCCACCGUAAGUUACGGUGGAGGCCAGUUGGAAAUCCAUGUUUUGAGAUCAAAAGUUUAACGUUGGGAUUCUUUUUCCUUCCAUUAUUAUUACCGGAUUUGUUUAGAAUUGUCACAUUUCCCGUAUGACUAAAGCAUUUCAUGUUGAUGAAAUGUAGGUUCUUUUUGGAUGCCGGAAGACGAUCAAGCUCAUCGAAGGACCGAACACGAUAAAGAUACAUGCUUCCGCACAUUUCCUCGUCGUAAAUUUUUAAACGACAAACUCGAUCACUUAUGUUGAAUAACUUAUGAUUUGUAAAAGUUUUAAUAAACUCGUAUUUUCAUAGUAUGUGUAAACUUAAUUACACAUCUAAUUGUUGGUAUUUAUAUAUAUAUAUAAAAAAAGUUA
This 648-nucleotide long non-coding RNA is filed under the name Helianthus annuus (common sunflower). Its description in RNAcentral is "sRNA HanXRQr2_Chr06g0258011". Lineage: Eukaryota; Viridiplantae; Streptophyta; Magnoliopsida; Asterales; Asteraceae. The record is from RNAcentral.